This 428-nucleotide unclassified non-coding RNA is filed under the name Hevea brasiliensis (rubber tree). The record is from RNAcentral. Lineage: Eukaryota; Viridiplantae; Streptophyta; Magnoliopsida; Malpighiales; Euphorbiaceae.
GUGUGUGUGUGUGUGUAUCAAGUAAUCCGAGAGAGUUGGGAGGAAUACUCCACUAGACAUAUUAAGAAAUUGUUAACAUAUAUAUGCUCUAACUCCAGUGGCGGAGCUAGGAAAAACUACUUGAGGACAGACUUGAGUUAUAAAAAAAAAUAUAUGCAUGCAUUCAAAAUCAAGUCUCCUCAUCUAUCAAAUUUGAUGAAAAUUAUGAUUUUCAUAGUUAGAAUUAUAAAAAGGGAGGGUUACUUCAAUUUUACUAUAUCAUAACUAUUAGUCGUAAAGUAUUUAUUGGGAAAGUUUCCUAUGAUAAAUAAUAAAUAUUACUUAAUUAAAUAUAUCAAAUUGAAAUACAUCUUUUUUAACUUUUAAACUUAAAUACUAAAAUAUAUGAGACAAUAAACAAGAACAUACAAGUCUUGCACCUAAAAAAU